This is a non-coding RNA of Phthorimaea operculella (potato tuberworm), 76 nucleotides long. NCBI's taxonomy places the organism in Eukaryota, Metazoa, Arthropoda, Insecta, Lepidoptera, Gelechiidae. The record is from the annotation of a GenBank genome assembly.
ACCGCGGUAGCCCAGUUGGUAGGGGCGUCGGCAGUACAAAUGCUGAAAGUCACAGGUUCUAAUCCUUCCUGCGGUG